RNAcentral lists this ribosomal RNA (492 nucleotides) under uncultured bacterium. RNAcentral's name for it is "partial 16S ribosomal RNA". It matches the Rfam family "Bacterial small subunit ribosomal RNA", at positions 29 to 507 of the family's 1533-position model. The record is from RNAcentral.
AGUGAACGCUGGCGGUAGGCCUAACACAUGCAAGUCGAACGGCAGCACAGUAAGAGCUUGCUCUUACGGGUGGCGAGUGGCGGACGGGUGAGGAAUACAUCGGAAUCUACUUUUUCGUGGGGGAUAACGUAGGGAAACUUACGCUAAUACCGCAUACGACCUACGGGUGAAAGCAUGGGAUCUUCGGACCUUGCGCGAUUGAAUGAGCCGAUGUCGGAUUAGCUAGUUGGCGGGGUAAAGGCCCACCACGGCGACGAUCCGUAGCUGGUCUGAGAGGAUGAUCAGCCACACUGGAACUGAGACACGGUACAGACUCCUACGGGAGGCAGCAGUGGGGAAUAUUGGACAAUGGGAGCAAGCCUGAUCCAGCCAUACCGCGUGGGUGAAGAAGGCCUUCGGGUUGUAAAGCCCUUUUGUUGGGAAAGAAAAGCAGCAGGUUAAUACCCCGCUGUUCUGACGGUAACCAAAGAAUAAGCACCGGCUAACUUCGUG